Long non-coding RNA from Lepisosteus oculatus (spotted gar), 4187 nucleotides. The record is from Ensembl. NCBI's taxonomy places the organism in Eukaryota, Metazoa, Chordata, Actinopteri, Semionotiformes, Lepisosteidae.
GAUGUACAGUAUCACCCGGCGAUGUAGUGUUGUUAAGGUUUUUCAUGGAUUCUCGCUUGCUUACGGGUUUCCUAUUGGCUGCAAGAGAAUGGCACGACGGAAGCGGAUCAUAAACACCGAUUUAGAGAGAAAACAGGUCAUGGACGGGACUUUGGAUCUGAUCCCUAAGCACUGGGUAGCCGAGUUAUGUAACCAGUGCGAUCUGAUUGAUGUACGAGGGCAAAAACUCUGUGGCAGAGUCCUCUCUCUCGUUUGCAGCCUUAAUUCGUUACUUCUCCAGCUUUUCAAAAAUGCAGGAGACGUCUAGAAAUGGCUGUUGAGCAUUUUCAAACCUAUGUGCUAAGAGUCAGAAUGCUGUGGAGACACCAAGGCAACUCGAGUGCCCCACCCACAAAGCUCAGAAUGCUGCCUGUUUAGAGUUCUGAUGCCUGCCAUUGGAUGCGGGCACAUCAAAGGGGUGGGACUGGAGCAUCACACCAUUGAGGUCUGCUUGGAAAGGGGGAGGGACUUGAUAAAAAUCACCACCGCCGGUUACUGAGAGAUCUGCUGUCAAAGUAGUGGCUUUAAAAAAGCUGUUUUUUUAAACAAAAUUAGCCCUAUACUACCAAUGUGUAUCAGGAGCAGGAGUACUGUGAAUUGUCAGGUUUGUUAGUAUAGUGAUUCCAUAUUCUGAUCCUAAGUAGGAUUGUAAAUAACCCUUAUUUAAAAAGACAACAGCUAAUUGCACUUUUAUCUAAUUUUGUGUAAUCGCUAAGUGCAUGCCGAAAUUUAAAAUGUAGACAAAGUGGGACAGUGGACCCUUAUAAUGUUUAAUGUAUAUUUCAGUUAUUUCUUUGCUUGCUGCACAUGUUGUGUUAUAUGCAAUAUUAGUCAGAACUCAGUGUUUGACUUCUCUUAUUUGUCACCUUUCUUGCAGGUAUAUUUAUACAUACUGUUUGUUUUAAAGUCUUUUCAACCCACUGAGACAAGUCACUGGUCUGAAGGCAGUAAGUAAAAUGUAAUAAAACCUGCAGUAAAAUCUCGAAAAACCAAUAGAGUGGAAUUCUUUUCCUCUCAGUCAUAUUGUCUAUGAUGUCUUGAGGGUGGAGGGAUGUUAGGGUGAUCAGAUACAGGAUGUUCCCUUCCACAACCUGGGAUUACAGCAGGACGCAUGAGGGAUGUUUUAACAUGGUUAAAAAAACCCAUUUAAAAAUUGCACAAGAGGGGUGUUUUUCACCUGAGAGUUAGGAGGAGUGGAAUUGCUGUGGCCAAAUCUAGACUCACAUGUUUUGAUAUCAUACUGUACCCAGCACUGUCAUAAUGCAGCUGGACAUGCAAGGAAAUCAUAUCCUUCUCAAUGACAUGCUGGUGAAAUGUCUCAUUUCACUUUCUGCUGUCUAGGCUAAAUGGCCUGUUUGCCACCUUUUUCUUGUUUCUUAUACAAAUAGCAGUGAAAUGAGGAUAAUAUAUGGCCGAAGCCUGUGGGUCAGUGGCCCUCCAGAGCUGUUGAUAUAUACUGUACCAUGUGAUUCUGUGUUAGUAUAAUGCUGCAAAACUUCCUAUGGUGGUUUGUGUGGUGUUGGCUUGUUAUCUAAGAUAAGAGGAGCAGAAAUGAGCUUAUCUUUGACAAGUGUUUUCAAGGCAUAUGAAUGACAGAUAAGUCGAACACACCCAGAACACAAACCCUAUGUUAGAAAUCCAUUUUCACUUAUAAAGCACCUUUUGGUGCAUUGAUCCCCACCUGCCUUUCAAUAAUGCCGAAAGAGGUAGAGUUUUGCUUAACGGGGGAAAAAAAAGACGCUUGUGAAAGGUUGGACUGUGCAUAAAAGAUCAUUAAGCAAAGAGGAUGAGCAAAUCUUUCUCUUGCAUUGAUUUAUUCAUGGGAAUUUCAAGUUCCAUUUUCUUCCAUUCAUUUUUUUUUCAAUCCCCUUCUCCCAGUUCAGGGUCCCAAGGGAGCUGAAGUCUGUCCCAGCAGGAUACACCCUGGACAAUCCAUCACAGGGCAGACAAACACAAAAAACAAACACACCCACUCACACCUGGGCUAAUUGUUCCAGAAGCCAGUUAACCUCCCAGUAGGUCUGUGAACUGUGGGAGGAAACCCACACACACUCAGGGAGAACAAACAAACUCCACACAGACAGCAUCCCAGGUCAUGGAUUGAACCCAGGGCCCCAGUGCUAACCACUGCACCACCCUGCUACUCCAGAUGCUUUUCACACAGUUAAAUGAUAAGAAAAUGUGAUCAGAAACAUUUAUGUGUUCACAGAAAGGUGUGUGACCUUUUCCCUUGGCCUCACAGCUGUGAUAAAAGUCAUAUAACAAAGGAUGGACUACCUGAACUUCUGAGAAAAACAAAUCUUGCCACUUUAUCAUUAACUGUGAUAACUUGAGAGCUUUCACAACUAAAAUCCUGCAGAAAAUGAGUCUUUGUAAAACUGUAGAAAAGAGCCAUCGAAGACGUUUCCUUAGAGAUGGAAAAAACAGGUUACCAUCCAGGAGGACAGAUUCCACGCUGUGCACCCCCCCCCAGCAACACAACUACUGGGACACUAUUUUUAAUAAUAUACAUUCUAUAGAAAAAAACAAACUCCCUGUUUGACCAUUAGGCCUACCACUAAAACCAGAUUUCACUUUAGAAUGCACUUACUUUUUCAUUGCCGAAAUUGAAAUAAUGCACAUGGCCAGUUUUGUCUAAAUGUCCGAUAUCCUCUCAGACAUUCAAUUCUUUUAGCCUGUCUAGGAAUACAGUACAUAAAGCACAUUAAUCAAGACUUCAUCAAUAGCCAUAGUGAUACAGGAAAAUAAAGAAGGCUUGUGCCCACCUGUAUCAUACCAACUAGACAAUCCCCUUUCCAGAGUGUUUAAUGCCUUGUUUUGUGUCCUUGAUCGUACAGUGGUAUCGGUGUUAUAGCUGUGUUCUGUACGCUUGCUGACUCCCCUUGUCAAACUAUAGUAAUCAAAACAAGGACACUGGAGUAGCAUCGCAGCUUGCGUCUCUGUGGAACUAAAUAGAUAGUCUUCUUGUCUGAUGGAGUUCUGGAAUUCAGAUGACUUGAGACAGGGGUUCCCAAUUCUGUUUCUGAGGACUUGGUUCCAACUGAGCACUAGGUUACAUAUUGGACCCCUUGACUGACUGAUCACAGGAGUCGUUGGGGGUCUUUGGCCAUUUUCAGUUUGUGAACAUGCUGGAGGCAGCCCUACGAUGACGACAUUUCCGAAGUAACUUAAACUCUCCAUAUGUUGAGGAACAAAGAGCAAAGUGUUUCUUAUUCAGAAAUGUGUUAGUUCAGUUAAUAAUUUGCUUAAGUAGAGCUGUCUCAGCUGCAACUCCAACCAGCAGGUAUGCUGGCCCCCAGCACCAGGGCUAUCCAGAAGUCCUGGAUUGGGAUGUGUGUGCAAGCUGUGGAUCUAUACAGAAGCCCAGAAGGCUGAAAUUAAUUGAUUAUGUGGACUACUAAGGCAGGCCUUACAGAUGAUGUGCUUUCCUAUAACCUUCAUUAUUUUGUAAAAGAAGCUUUCUGGACUUGGUAAACUCAGUUAUUUCAGACAUCAACAUGGGUUCUUACAACGCCUGAUGUGAGGACUAAAUGGAUUCAAUUGAGAGCCACUAUGAGCAUAGAGCGCCAUCUACUGUACAAUAGCAGAAAUGUUACAUUUUGUAUCAGCUGUGCAGCAGUAAUCUAGAAAACCUGUUUAAUUUAAGUCGAUUGUGGGUACUUCUACUACUUUUUAAAUUAUUUUCUUGUAUAUCUUAAUUUAUUAAGUUAAUCUGGUUUUUAAAAGACUUUUCUGUUUUGCGGUUUUUAAUGAUCCUAGGUUUUCAACUAUAUUAAACGUACAUUUUACGUUUUCACUUUGUCAAAAAUGCCGGUCACGAUCUUCUCUCUCUUAUAUGCUCCCGUUUUAAAGUGAGUCCUUAAUUAGUCAUUAAUUACAGCAGGUAGUAAUCAUGGUGAGGAACCCUUUCCUAGAUCCAUUUUCACCCUCCAUACAGCUUUUAUAAAUUUUAAUAAAGUCAGUGUCCUGUGUGAUCAACUGCAAAAGACCUUUAUGUCUGAUGUAGGAAAUAAUUAGUGUUAUGUUUGAAUGUGAUGUUUGCACAGUAUUGCGCAGUGUUAGAAAGUUUUUUCCACUCGGGUCCUUUUCACAAAUACAUGGAAUUCCUGACUUAAAGCAUAUUGGUUCCAAUAAACUUUAAAAUUCAG